GCGCUUACUUAAGCUACGAAUAUACUUGAAUCAGAAUGAUGCAGAAGAGAUUAGGAUGAUCCUUGCACAAGGAUGACAAGCAAAUUCAUGAAGCAUUCUGCAUUUCU
Bison bison bison is the source of this 107-nucleotide small nuclear RNA. NCBI's taxonomy places the organism in Eukaryota, Metazoa, Chordata, Mammalia, Artiodactyla, Bovidae. The record is from Ensembl.